RNAcentral lists this unclassified non-coding RNA (636 nucleotides) under Hevea brasiliensis (rubber tree). Lineage: Eukaryota; Viridiplantae; Streptophyta; Magnoliopsida; Malpighiales; Euphorbiaceae. The record is from RNAcentral.
UACACCUUCAACCGGUUCUUCCUUUCCCAAUCACCUCCCUCUUCAAACAAGUUCUUUGCUUUGUCAAUGCUCUUGGAAAUGAGAUCAAAAUCCAUGUAGAAAAAGCCAAGCUGUAAAGUAUAGAAUACCAAGUCCAUUUUUUGCCCAACUGCAACUGUUUUGCUUUCUGUCACCUUUAGUUGCUCCAAAGCUUUCUCCUUGUCACCAGUUCGAAUGUAGAACAAAGAUUUGGCCAAAUGAGCUUCUCGAACUUCACUUUCACCCAAGUUUUCUUCAGCAUCAGCAAUCUUCUCAUCGAGCCUCUUGAGCUCCUCCUCAUUCUUCGCACGCAUCGAAUCCAAUACGUUCUGAUCCUUCUCCAGUAACCCUUCGCCCACUAGGGUUUCGUACAAGGGAACCAUAUCGUCAGCUUUGACGGCCGUAAAGACCUCCUCCUUGAGGUGGACCUUCUCAAUGUCUGGGACAUCGGGGUGGGUUAGAAGGAAGCGCUUGUGAGCGAGUAUGAGGUGCGGUUGCUGAAUUCCUUCUUGCCCUUCCAUUAAGGGUGACUCAGUGAGUUUAGAUUCUCGAGUUUCCUUUUCUGGGGGUUUUGCUUGAGCAAGGAGGCAAGGAGAAACCGAAUGAUGCUAAAUGCGU